GAUGAACGCUGGCGGCGUGCCUAAUACAUGCAAGUCGAGCGAACAGACGAGGAGCUUGCUCCUCUGACGUUAGCGGCGGACGGGUGAGUAACACGUGGAUAACCUACCUAUAAGACUGGGAUAACUUCGGGAAACCGUAGCUAAUACCGGAUAAUAUAUUGAACCGCAUGGUUCAAUAGUGAAAGACGGUUUUGCUGUCACUUAUAGAUGGCUCCGCGCCGCAUUAGCUGGUUGGUAAGGUAACGGCUUACCAAGGCAACGAUGCGUAGCCGACCUGAGAGGGUGGUCGGACACACUGUAACUGAGACACGGUCCAGACUCCUACGGUGGGCAGCAGUAGGGAAUCUUCCGCAAUGGGCGAAAGCCUGACGGAGCAACGCCGCGUGAGUGAUGAAGGUCUUCGGAUCGUAAAACUCUGUUAUUAGGGAAGAACAAAUGUGUAAGUAACUAUGCACGUCUUGACGGUACCUAAUCAGAAAGCCACGGCUAACUACGUG
RNAcentral lists this ribosomal RNA (497 nucleotides) under uncultured bacterium. RNAcentral describes it as "partial 16S ribosomal RNA". It matches the Rfam family "Bacterial small subunit ribosomal RNA", at positions 28 to 507 of the family's 1533-position model. The record is from RNAcentral.